This 763-nucleotide small RNA is filed under the name Mycoplasmoides pneumoniae M129. RNAcentral's name for it is "Mycoplasma pneumoniae M129 ncRNA". The record is from RNAcentral. Lineage: Bacteria; Bacillati; Mycoplasmatota; Mycoplasmoidales; Mycoplasmoidaceae.
AGGGCGAAUUGUUUUGGGAAUUGGUUUGACCCGAACCUUGAGUGGAAGCCUUGUACGAAUCCUUGUCGGUAUAGCUAAUUUGGUACGCGAGGGCAUUCGGGUGCUCCGGUAAGGUAGCCCCUGUUGCGGUGGUGGUGGUACUACUUGUAGCUGCUUGCGCGGCCAACUGAGCUUGAUCCGCCCACACCCCCUUGAAAUCCCACACACUCUCCACGCGGCCCAGCCGGUUGACCCAACUGCCACGAAAGGCCGCUCAGGGCCGCUUGGCCCAAAUUAACUCCCUUUGGGUCGCUUCACUUACAUCGAGACCCGUUAACUGGAGCCCGAGGUAACCAGCGCGGGGUUUGAUAAAGUCCGUGAACGUAACUAACCACCCGCCGAGCUGGAAGCUGAAGCUGGUGCCACUGACAACGAUGUUACCAACGUCUUGCGGCGUUCAAGCCAACCCGGGGGUGAUCAGCACAGCCUUCGACGUUGUGUUUGUGCCACUUUGUUCGGGAAUUUUAAAACCGAUACCGGGUGAACUGGUCGUGUUGGACCCCGAACCACUCGCUCGCGUGUUCCCAAAAUAGGUUUCCACCAACGCCGGAUUCAACAACCCAUUCACCUCGCCGUAAGCGGGGAGGUUCAGUUUGGUUUGGUCCGACUGUAAGUCGGUGUAGGACCAUUUUUGGUCCUCCGCCUUAAACUUACUGUUAUCAUCUUGGCCGGACUUAUUAACCAACACCGGGAUGCUGCCCAACAGGCCGCGCAGGAACAGCUG